UGGGGCUACGGUAAGGUUUAAGGUUUUUGGCGUUAGAGUUAAAAUCAGUGUCCAAAACCUUUUUAGGAACUCUUUUCCAACCUUUUGGAGUUAGUUACACCAAAAAAAAAAGAAAAAUGAAAAAAAGAUAUUUUAGGUUUUCGGGCUUCCUGAAGGUAAUACCCGGGCCUUAGGUUAUGGGGCUAGGGAAAGGUUUAAGGUUUUUGGCGAUAGGGUUAAAAUCACUGUCCAAAACCUUUGUAGGAACUCUUUUCCAACCUUUUGGAGAUAGUUAGACCAAAAAAAAUGUAAAAAGAAAAAAAAAUAUUUGGGGUGUUCAGGCUUCCUGAAGGUAAUACCCGGGUAAUAGGUUAUGGGGCUAGGGUAAGGUUUAGGGUUUUUGGCGUUAGGGUUAAAAUCACUGUCCAAAAUUUUUGAAGGAACAUGUUUCAGACCUUUUGGAGUUAGUUAGACCAAAAAAAAAAGAAAAAUGAAAAAAAAAUAUUUGGGGUUUUUGGUUUCCCUGAAGGUAAUACCCGGGUAUUAGGUUUUGGGGCUAGGGUAAGGUUUAAGGUUUUUGGCGUUAGGGUUAAAAUCACUGUCCAAAACCUUUGUAGGAACAAGUUUCAAACCUUUUGGAGUUAGUUAGACCAAAAAAAAACGAAAAAUGAAAAAAAAAUGUUUGGGGUGUUAAGGCUUCCUUUAGGUAAUACCCGGGUAAUAGGUUAUGGGGCUAGGGUAAGGUUUAAGGUUUUUGGCGUUAGGGUUAAAAUCACAGUCCAAAACCUUUGUUGGAACAAGUUUCAGACCUUCUGGAGUUAGUUACACCAAAAAAAAAGGAAAAUGAAAAAAAAUUUUUGGGGGUGUUCGGGUUUCCUGAAGGUAAUACCCGGGUAUUAGGUUAUGGGGCUUGGGUAAGGUUUAAGGUUUAAGGUUUUUGGCGUUAGGGUUAAAAUCACUGUCCAAAACCUUUGUUGGAACAAGUUUCAGACCUUUUGGAGUUGGUUACACCAAGAAAAAAUGUAAAAUGAAAAAAAAAUAUUUGGGAUUUUUGGGCUUCCUGAAGGUAAUACCCGGGUAUUAGGUUUUGGGGCUAGGGUAAGGUUUAAGGUUUUUGGCGUUAGGGUUAAAAUCACUGUCCAAAACCUUUGUAGGAACAAGUUUCAAACCUUUUGGAGUUAGUUAGACCAAAAAAAAUGAAAAAUGAAAAAAAAAAUGUUUGGGGUGUUAAGGCUUCCUUUAGGUAAUACCCGGGUAUUAGGUUAUGGGGCUAGGGUAAGUUUUAAGGUUUUUGGCGUUAGAGUUAAAAUCACUGUCCAAAACCUUUGUUGGAACAAGUUUCAAACGUUUUAGAGUUAGUUAGACCAAAAAAAAAAAGAAAAAUGAAAAAAAAAAAUUGGGGUGUUUUCGGGCUUCCUGAAGGUAAUACCCGGGUAUUAGGUUAUGGGGCUUUGGAAAGGUUUAAGGUUUUUGGCGUUAGGGUUAAAAUCACUGUCCAAAACCUUUUGGAGUUAGUUAAACCAAAAAAAAGUGAAAAAUGAAAAAAAAAUGUUUGGGGUGUUCGGGCUUCCUGAAGGUAGUAUUAGGUAAUGGGGCUAGGGAAAGGUUUAAGAUUUUUGGCAUUAGGGUAAAAAUCACUGUCCAAAACCUUUGUAGGAACUCUUUUCAAACCUUUUGGAGUUAGUUAGACAAAAAAAAAAAAUGAAAAAUGAAAAAAAAAAAAAAUGUUUGGGGUGUUAAGGCUUCCUUAAGGUAAUACCCGGGUAUUAGGUUAUGGGGCUAGGGUAAGGUUUAAGGUUUUUGGCGUUAGGGUUAAAAUCACUGUCCAAAACCUUUGUUGGAACAAGUUUCAAACCUUUUGGAGUUAGUUAGACCAAAAAAAAAAAGAUAAAUGAAAAAAAAAAUAUUUGGGGUUUUCGGGCUUCCUGAAGGUAUUACCCGGGUAUUAGAUUAUGGGGCUAGGGAAAGGUUUAAGGUUUUUGGCGUUAGGGUUAAAAUCACUGUCCAAAACAUUUUUAGGAACAUGUUUCAGACUUUUUGGAGUUGGUUACACCAAGAAAAGAUGUAAAAUGAAAAAAUAUAUAUUUUGGGUGUUCGGGCUUCCUGAAGGUAUUACCCGGGUAUUAGAUUAUGGGGCUAGGGAAAGGUUUAAGGUUUUUGGCGUUAGGGUUAAAAUCACUGUCCAAAACAUUUUUAGGAACAUGUUUCAGACCUUUUGGAGUUGGUUACACCCCAAAAAAAUGUAAAAUGAAAAAAAAUAUAUUUGGGGUGUUAAGGCUUCCUUUAGUUAAUACCCGGGUAUUAGGUUAUGGGGCUAGGGUAAGGUUUAAGGUUUUUGGCGUUAGGGUUAAAAUCACUGUCCAAAACCUUUGUUGGAACAAGUUUCAGACCUUCUGGAGUUAGUUACACCAAAAAAAAAUGUAAAAUGAAAAAAAAAUUUUUGGGGUGUUCGGGUUUCCUAAAGGUAAUACCCGGGUAUUAGGUUAUGGGGCUUGGGUAAGGUUUAAGGUUUAAGGUUUUUGGCGUUAGGGUUAAAAUCACUGUCCAAAACCUUUGUAGGGACAAGUUAAAACCUUUUAGAGUUAGUUAGACCAAAAAAAAAAUGAUAAAUGAAAAAAAAAAUGUUUGGGGUGUUAAGGCUUCCUUUAGGUAAUACCCUGGUAUUAGGUUAUGGGGCUACGGUAAGGUUUAAGGUUUUUGGCGUUAGAGUUAAAAUCACUGUCCAAAACCUUUUUAGGAACUCUUUUCCAACCUUUUGGAGUUAGUUACACCAAAAAAAAAAGAAAAAUAAAAAAAAGAUAUUUUGGGUUUUCGGGCUUCCUGAAGGUAAUACCCGGGUAUUAGGUUAUGGGGCUUGGGUAAGGUUUAAGGUUUAAGGUUUUUGGCGUUAGGGUUAAAAUCACUGUCCAAAACCUUUGUUGGAACAAGUUUCAGACCUAUUGGAGUUGGUUACACCAAGAAAAAAUGAAAAAUGAAAAAAAAAUGUGUGGGGUGUUAGGGCUUCCUUUAGGUAAUACCCUCGUAUUGGGUUACGAGGGUAGGGUAAGGUUUAAGGUAUUUGCGGUUAGGGUAAAAUCACUGUCCAAAACUUUUUUAGGAACAUGUUUCAGACCUUCUGGAGUUAGUUAGACCAAAAAAAAAAAACGAAAAAUGAAAAAGAAAAUGUUUGAGGUGUUAGGGCUUCCUUUAGGUAAUACCAGUAUUAGGUCACGGGGCUAGGGUAAGGUUAAAGGAUUUUGGGGUUAUGGUUAAAAUCACUGUCGUAGUCCUUGUUAGGAACUUGUUUCAGACCUUUUGUAGUGAGUUAGACCAAAAUAAAUGUAAAAUGAAAAAUAAUGUGUGGGGUGUGAGGGCUUCCUUUAGGUAAUAGUCGGGUAUUGGGUUACAGGGCUAGGGUAAGGUUCAAGGUUUUUGCGGUAAGGGUUAAGAUCACUGUCCAAGACUUUUUAAGGAACAUGUUUCAAACCUUUUGGAGUUAGUUAGACCAAAAUAAAAACGAAAAAUGAAAAAAAAAAUGCUUGGGGUGUUAGGGCUUCCUUUAGAAAAUACUCGGGCAUUGGCUUACGGGGCUAGGGUAAGGUUUAAGGUUUUUGGCGUUAGGGUUAAAAUCACUGUCCAAAACCUUUUUUAGGAACAUGUUUCAGACCUUUUGGAGUUAGUUAGACCAAAAAAAAAAUUUAAAUGUCAAAAAAAAAAAUUUUCGGGGUUGUCAGGGCUUACUUUAGGUAAUUGGGUUACGGGGCUAGGGUUAUGGUUAGGGUUUUCGGAUAAGCGUUAAAAUCACUGUCCAAAAACCUUUGAGGAACAUGUUUCAAACCUUUUGGAGUUAGAUAGACCAAAAAAAAAAGAAAAACGAAAAAAAAAAAUUGGGGGGUGAUAGGGCUUCCUUUAGGUAAUUGGGUUAAGGGUCUAGGGCAGGGGUCUUCAUAUAAAUUUUCAGUGGGUCCACCUGAAUGAAAUGCUUGCAGGCCUGGGUCCAGGGAUUUUUAUUUAUUUAUUUUUUUACAGUGCAUUACUCUUUUGAAAUAUUCACUUCAUUUGUAUUGCCAAUAACUGCCUACUUUCAAUUGGCUGUGUGCUUCCUGCGGGUAAAAUGAAUGCAAAUGACUCGGUCCACUCGCCAUAAAACACCCUGUUCUCAUUCUCUACCUUUCGUGGUUUUGAGGCCGACAUGUUUAGCUGCUGCUACAACUUUCUCCUCAGUCUGCCGCCUGACAGUUUUCAACAUCGGGAUUGCUUGGUUAUUUUCGUGUGUCGAGUAGGCUAAGAGGUCUGAUUUGAUUGACAAGUCAAGCAAGUAAGCAAGUGAUGUAAUGCCUUGCUGAAAUUGCAGGUGCAGUUUACCAGGCAGAAAGCAAGAGAGUAAGGCUGCACGAUAUUGGAAAAAACUAACAUUGCGAUUUUUUUCAACCCUGCGAUAUAUAUUGCGAUAUUAAAAAUAUAGGAAUUUUCACCAGAUGACCUGAAUAGCAUUUAAUGUUACACUGCACUGCUGAAGUCUUGAGGACAGUUAACCUGCACUGAUCUUACCUCUUUUUGUGAAUGUUAGAAUGGCUUCUGUCUGUCUCAGAGAUAUUUUUAGCUUUUAUUGUUCUCGGACGUUAUUGUGGCGACAGAUGAACACAGAACACGUGUUUUGGUCAACAUCAUCCUUCUUUUAAUAGAAAUAAUUCCAGAUAACUGACUUUCAUUUUCUUUUUGGCAACAAAUCUUAAUUUUCGGUGGUUUUCUCUUGUUCAUUGCUCAUUUUGCAAUCGUUGUUGUUGUUGUUGUUGUUAGCGGUGUUGUGCCGAGAAACGCAUGUCCUCCGAGAAUUGCAUGCACCUCGCAAAACGCGCACCGCUUAUAGUAGAGUGGUCCAUGGAAAUAUACAUUUUAAAACCCAUACAGUUCUUAUUUGUUGGGCUUAACAGUCAGUAAAGUUCCCAAAGUAAUUCUCAGCGGACACGCGUCUCCCUCCAUGUGCAGAACAUGUGCAGGGGUGGGUUUCCUCCUCUCUGAUUUUGAUAGACAGCUGGCAGGGUAGUCUGAUUGGCAACUGAGAACUGAGUCUGAUUGGCAACUGAGUAAAGGACAAAGGUGAUUGGUGGAUCGCUACACAGCACAUGCAGAGUCACAUGCAGUGUAUCUCAGUCAGCUACCCUUGAAAUUAACCGAGUUCAUUCACUUCCGACUAUCGCACACACGUAUAUCGUGCAGGCCUAUAAGAGAGAAAAAAACAUACAUUUUUCUGCGGUAGGCUCGGGUCCGUAUUGGACUCUUUCCCGGUCCGGAAGUGGACCGCGGUCCGCCAUAUGGAGACCACUGGUCUAGGGUAAGGUUUAAUGUUUUUGGGGUUAGGGUUAAAAUAACUGUCCAAAACUUUUUAAGGAACAUGUUUCAGACCUUUUGGAGUUAGUUAGACCAAAAAAAAACGAAAAAUAAAAAAAAAUGCUUGGGGUGUUCGGGUUUCCUUUAGAUAACACUCUUGACUCGAGCGCCCUGAGAGUGGCAGCAAGUCACAUCAGCUCCUCACAGACUUUACGUUUUUGCCUUCUUAUUGUUGUUUUUUGGCACCUUUUUUGUCUUUCUUUUUUUCAGCAGUGUUGUGUCUUGCAUAUUCCAACCAUGGAUGUGCAUUUCAUGACUCUUUUACUUUGUUUUCUUUUACUUUUCGGAAUUUUUAAGUCCGCGACCGGCGACCCAUUAAGCGGCCCCAUUGUUUACAGCCGUGAACAGCUGUUGGCGCUGCGCCAAGCCCGGCCACCUUUCUGGGAGAGACCGGACAUCCCCGCUAAGCUCCGCAGGAGAAGAAGAGGAUGCAGGGCUGGAGUUCAGCAUCGGGCAAAGCGGAGACGUUAUAAACCAACUUUCCCGUCCAUCAUCAUGGGAAACGUGAGGUCUCUCCCCAACAAGAUGGAAGAGCUCACAGCGCUGACUAGGCUGCAAUGGGAGUAUCGUGAGUGCAGCCUCAUGAUGUUCACGGAGUCAUGGCUGAACGAACUGACUCCGGACCCGCUCGGACCAGAGCGUGAGGGAGAGUGGUAAGAAGAAAGGAGGCGGGAUAGCGGUGUAUGUGAAUGAGAGAUGGUGUAAUGCUGGGCACAUCAGUGUUAAAGAGCAGCUCUGCUCUAAGGACAUUGAGCUGCUGGCUGUGAGUUUGCAUCCAUUUAACCUGCCGAGGGAGUUUUCGCACGUCAUCACAUUAACUGUUUACAUCCCCCCCUCGGCUGAUGCUGCUGCAGCCUGUGAACUCCUCCAUAGUGAAGUGUCCAAGCCACAAACAUCACACCCUCAGUCUCUGAUCAUCAUCUCUGGAGACUUUAAUCAUGCAUCGCUGUCCUCCAAUCUCCCUACCUUCAGCCAGUAUGUAAACUGCCCAACAAGAGACAAUAAAACUUUGGACUUACUGUAUGCAAACACCAAGGAUGCAUACACCUCCUCCCCCUCCCCCCGCUGGGCCGCUGAGAUCACAACCUGGUGAGACUGCAGCCCAUUUACAUACCUAUGGUGAAGAAACAACCCCCCACCAUCAGGUAUGUUAAGAGGUGGUCUGAGGAGGCCACUGAGGCGCUGCAGGACUGUUUUGAGACCACAGACUGGGAUGUACUGUGCAGCCCACAUGGUGAUGACAUCGACACCAUGACAGACUGUAUCACGGACUAUAUAAACUUCUGUGUGGAGAACACCGUACCCACCAGGAAAGUACGGUGUUUCUCCAACAGCAAACCCUGGGUGACCCCGGAACUUAAAGUCCUCCUGAAGGAGAAGAGGAGGGUCUUUAAAUCUGGGGACAAGGAGGAGCUGAGGAGGGUGCAGAAGGACCUGAAGAAGAACAUCAGAGAGGGAAAGGCCAGCUACAAGACCAAGAUGGAAAACCUUUUGCAACAGAACAACGCAAGGGAGGUCUGGAGAGGCCUGAAAUCCAUCUCAGUUCAUAGCAGGGGCCAUGAGAGGGGACCUGAAGUAGGAGACAGGGAGUGGGCCAACGAGCUGAAUCUGUUCUUCACUAGAUUUGACCCUGCUCCCACUCCUCCCCCGACUCAUCAAACCAACGUCCCGUCUGCUGCUUCUUCUUCACACCACCUCAGUCCCAUGGUAUCGGCAUCAUCAACCCCCCUCCACUCAUCCAACACCACCCCCUCCAGCACCAACCCCAGCCUCUCCAUAACAGCUGACCAGGUGAGAAUUGAGCUGAGGAAGAUGAAGCCAAGGAAAGCCACAGGUCCUGACGGCAUCAGCUCCAGACUCCUGAAGGAUUGUGCAGACCAGCUCUGUGAGGUGCUACUUCACAUCUUCAGCUUGAGCCUGAGUCUGGAGAGGGUCCCAACACUGUGGAAGACUUCCUGCGUGAUUCCUGUCCCCAAGACAGCACACCCCAGGGAGCCCAACCACUUCAGACCUGUGGCCCUCACUUCUCACCUGAAGAAGACUCUGGAGAGGAUCAUGCUGAGGAACCUCGAUCCCCUAGUGAGCUCUCAUCUGGAUCCUCUGCAGUUUGCCUACCAGCCAAACAUCGGGGUGGACGACGCAGUCAUCUACCUGCUGCAGAGGUCCAUGGCCCACUUGGAGAAUACCAGCAGCACUGUGAGGGUCGUGUUUUUUAACUUCUCCAGUGCUUUCAACACUAUCCAGCCUUCACUGCUCAGGGGGAAGCUCGAGCGGGCGGGAAUGGACUGUCACCGAGCCGCAUGGACCGUGGACUACCUCACCGACAGACCACAGUUUGUGAGGCUUCAGAACUGUGUAUCGGACAUGGCGGUCUGCAGCACGGGGGCUCCACAGGGGACAGUGCUCUCCCCCUUCCUCUUCACCCUGUACACCUCGGACUUCAGCUACAACUCUGGGAGCUGUCACCUACAGAAGUUCUCUGAUGACACAGCCAUCGUCGGAUGUGUAUCAUCAGGGGAUGAGCGGGAAUACAGGACUGUCAUCACUGACUUUGUCAACUGGUGUGGCACAAACCACCUCCAGCUCAACGCCAGUAGGACAAAGGAGAUGGUCGUGGAUUUCCGCAGGAGGGGGACACCUCAGACUGUUCCAGUAAACAUCCGGGGUCUGGACAUCGAGAUGGUGGAGUCCUACAGAUUACUGGGUGUCCACCUCAACAACAAACUGGACUGGUCAACCAACACAGACGUCCUUUACAAGAAGGGCCAAAGUUGUCUCCACCUGCUGAGGAGACUGAGGUCCUUUGGAGUGUGCAGGACUCUGCUCAGGACUUUCUAUGACUCUGUGGUAGCAUCUGCACUUUUCUAUGCAGUGGUCUGCUGGGGGGCAGGGAGCACUGAGAGGGACAGGAAGAGACUGAACAGACUGGUCAGGAGGGCCAGUUCUGUCCUGGACUUCUCCUUGGACUCCCUGGAGGAGGUGGGUGAGAGGAGGAUGUUAGCAAAGCUUGUAUCCAUCAUGGACACCCACUGCACUAGACUGUGGGGGCCUUAAUCAGCUCCUUCAGCAGCAGACUUAGACUUCCACCUUGCAAGACGGAGCGCUACCGCAGGUCAUUCCUCCCUUCAAUGCAAUAAGAUUUUACAACGAACUGUAAUAUAACUGGACUCACACCACCACCUUUUUUUUCUGGUACUUAAAUUGUUUGUAUUGUAUAUAGUUUUAUUUUCUUUUCCCUUUUUCAUUUUUCUAAAUUUUUCCUUAAUUAUUACAUUUAAGUUCUUAAUAUUACCAUCUUUACUUUUAUUACUGCAUUUUUGCACUCUUUGUCUGUGAUGUCUGUGUGCACACAAUGCACAUAUAAUUAUUACAAAUUAACCUACACAAAAACACAAAAUGUUAUAUAAAAAAGAGAAAAUUUAUAAGCAACAGCAAUUCUAUAUCUUAUCUGAUGAAUGUGUUUGGCACGCGUAUGGACACCCAACCUGACUGAAUAAACACAGAUGAUACAGCAUUAAAUUCAAUACCCAAUGGUCACACAUAAUCAAUUAACAAGAUAAUCCCCCCCCCCUUCUCUCACGACGAUUUAUUUUAGUGAUCAAAUAAGUUAUUUAUAUCAAAAAUGUGAACGAAACAAUAAAAGAUACUUUCAAAAUAACCCGUUAAUCUAAUUUUUUCACAUCCUCAGAUGCUGUGAAUAAUUUAUCUGGAGUAAGGCCUACAUACAAGUAUUAUAAUAUUUAGUUGCAUGAGCGAAGAUCAUUUCACAUGCAAAUAUUAGUGAAAGAGAAAGGUAUGCCAUGGAGCAUGAUGGGUCCUUUACACACAGGUGGUUCUGAUUUUAAUGCUGUUAGGUAUGGUAUUAGUUUAUGUUGUGAUCUGUGCGCGCAACCCACCUUGGUCACAGGAGUUUAAAUGUAUGCAACUUGGUGUGAGUGUCUUUAUUUGUGGAAAAGGAUGUUUGUCUUACCAGUGGGUACAACCUUGCACACACAAAACCCUUCUACUUAUUUGAUAAAGUGUGGAGGACACAAUGCCCUCCACAGUGCUACGAGCAACACUUGUUGAGAGGCUGCUUUCUGUUGCCACUGUGUGGCAUUGCUGUCUUCAGCCAUCUCUUCAACUACUUCAUGAAAUUUACUGUAUGCCCUGCCAGUGGUGGAUUGAAAGGUGAGAAGAGGUGCUGAUGUGAUUGGUAAAAGGUGGACUCAGCUAUGUUGAACCCACUUCCCAUCUCUCUUUACUACUUAAAUUGCUGGUAGAAAGUUUUUUGUUUUUUUUUUGCAUGUAGUCGAGUUAGAUGCAUUAAUUAUUUCUUCAUAGCAAACAUUCAGUGACAAUGAGUUUACGAAAAAAGACAGUCUCAACUGGAAUGGAAUUGUUGCAAUGGCUUUAUUUAUGUCAAAAAUUCUGCAAGCCAGCAAGAAAAAAAAAUCAGUGUGGAAACCAACAGAAAAAUGUGCAAAAGAAAUAUGUGGUAUUAUACUAUUGUAAGGAAAAAAGACCCUAAUCUGCCCAGUCUUCUGCAUUGGGCCACAUGGCCUCAUCAACAUCACACCAGACCAACUCCUCUCUGUGGGCAACUCUUCUUUGUUCUGCCAUUCUCUAUUGUCUUGUUUCUUUAGCCCCAAACCAAC
This is a non-coding RNA of Xyrichtys novacula (pearly razorfish), 9986 nucleotides long. NCBI's taxonomy places the organism in Eukaryota, Metazoa, Chordata, Actinopteri, Labriformes, Labridae. The record is from the annotation of a GenBank genome assembly.